Molecule: ribosomal RNA, 500 nt
Filed under: uncultured bacterium
Lineage: Bacteria
Description: partial 16S ribosomal RNA
Rfam family: Bacterial small subunit ribosomal RNA
Source: RNAcentral
AUUGAACGCUGGCGGAAUGCUUUACACAUGCAAGUCGAACGGCAGCACGGACUUCGGUCUGGUGGCGAGUGGCGAACGGGUGAGUAAUGUAUCGGAACGUAUCCAAUAAUGGGGGAUAACUAGUCGAAAGAUUAGCUAAUACCGCAUACGCCCUACGGGGGAAAGCUAGGGACCUUCGGGCCUGGCGUUAAUGGAGCGGCCGAUAUCUGAUUAGCUAGUUGGUGAGGUAAAAGCUCACCAAGGCGACGAUCAGUAGCUGGUCUGAGAGGACGACCAGCCACACUGGAACUGAGACACGGUCCAGACUCCUACGGGAGGCAGCAGUGGGGAAUUUUGGACAAUGGGCGAAAGCCUGAUCCAGCCAUUCCGCGUGAGUGAAGAAGGCCUUCGGGUUGUAAAGCUCUUUCGCAAGAGAAGAAAACUUACCCUCUAACAUAGGGUGAGGCUGACGGUAUCUUGAUAAGAAGCACCGGCUAACUACGUGCCAGCAGCCGCCGCCG